RNAcentral lists this non-coding RNA (23 nucleotides) under Arabidopsis thaliana (thale cress). Lineage: Eukaryota; Viridiplantae; Streptophyta; Magnoliopsida; Brassicales; Brassicaceae. The record is from RNAcentral.
CUGUGAAUUGUGUUGCUGUGAGU